This 77-nucleotide transfer RNA is filed under the name Metaclostridioides mangenotii. Its description in RNAcentral is "tRNA-Arg". It matches the Rfam family "tRNA". From Rfam's summary of the family: Transfer RNA (tRNA) molecules are approximately 80 nucleotides in length. Their secondary structure includes four short double-helical elements and three loops (D, anti-codon, and T loops). Lineage: Bacteria; Bacillati; Bacillota; Clostridia; Peptostreptococcales; Peptostreptococcaceae. The record is from RNAcentral.
GUCCCCGUAGCUCAGCUGGAUAGAGCACUUGCCUCCUAAGCAAGGUGUCGUACGUUCAAAUCGUAUCGGGGACGCCA